GGUUAAGCGACUAAGCGUACACGGUGGAUGCCCUGGCAGUCAGAGGCGAUGAAGGACGUGCUAAUCUGCGAUAAGCGCCGGUAAGGUGAUAUGAACCGUUAUAACCGGCGAUWYCCGAAUGGGGAAACCCAGUGUGACUCGUCACACUAUCAUUAACUGAAUCCAUAGGUUAAUGAGGCGAACCGGGGGAACUGAAACAUCUAAGUACCCCGAGGAAAAGAAAUCAACCGAGAUUCCCCCAGUAGCGGCGAGCGAACGGGGAGGAGCCCAGAGCCUGAAUCAGCAUGUGUGUUAGUGGAAGCGUCUGGAAAGGCGCGCGAUACAGGGUGACAGCCCCGUACACAAAAGCGCAUGUGCUGUGAGUGUGAG
This 369-nucleotide ribosomal RNA is filed under the name Salmonella enterica. RNAcentral describes it as "partial 23S ribosomal RNA". Lineage: Bacteria; Pseudomonadati; Pseudomonadota; Gammaproteobacteria; Enterobacterales; Enterobacteriaceae. The record is from RNAcentral.